RNAcentral lists this long non-coding RNA (1510 nucleotides) under Sus scrofa (pig). RNAcentral describes it as "lncRNA (ENSSSCG00050034989.1)". The record is from RNAcentral. Lineage: Eukaryota; Metazoa; Chordata; Mammalia; Artiodactyla; Suidae.
UUUUUGGCCAUUUCUUGGGCUGCUCCCGCAGCAUAUGGAGGUUCUUCAAAAAACUAAAAAUAGAACUACUAUUUGAUCCAGCAUUCCCACUCCUGGGCAUCUAUCCAGAGAAAACCAUAAUUCAAAAAGGUUCCCCAAGGUUCAUUGCAGCACUAUGUACAAUGGCCAAGACAUGGAAGCAACCUAAAUGUCUACCAAGAGAGGAAUGGAUAAAGAAAAUGUGGUACAUAUAUACAAUGGACUAUUACUCACCCAUAAAAAGAAUGAAAUAACAUCAUUUGUGGCAACAUGGAUGGACCUAGAAACUAUUAUACUAAGUGAAAGACAAACAUAUGAUAUCACCUGUAUGUGGAAUCUGAAAAAAAAAAAAGAUACAAAUGAACUUUUUUGUGGGAUAGAAACAGACUCACAGGCUUUGAAAAACUUGUGGUUACCAAAGGGGACAGGUCGGGCGUCGGGGGGAGGAACUGGGGGUUUGCGCACUGAGGUAUAUGGAGUGACUGGCCAACAGGGGCCUGAGGUAUAACACAGAGAACUCCACCCAGCACCCUGUGAUGAUCUACGUGGGAAAACAUUCUGAGACAGAAUGGAAAUGUGUGUAUGUAUGACUGGGUCACUUGCUGCACCGCAGCAAUUACCACAACCUCGUAAAUUACUUAUACUUCAAUAAAACCUAAAAAAAAAAAAAAAAGUCCCAGAGAAGAGAGAAUCACCAUGAGCUGGGGGUACAAAAAGUGGCCUCAUGGAGUUGGGGGGAGGGUGAACAGAGGAGACAACCAAGAAAAUGAUGACAUGAGGAUCGUACAACUUUCAUUAGGUUAAAUGGGCUACGGCCCCAGGAUGAGUAACCAGACUAUCUAAGGAACACCUAUAAUAAAGAAGAAAAAGGAAAAGAAGCAAAAAAGGAUGAACAGCCUACAUCCAAAAGAAGAAACGUAAAUGAAAAGCCUUCCUCAUCUUCACAGGGGAAUACAAAUUAAAACCACAAGGAAAUUUCAUUUCAUACCCAUCAGACUCGAAAAAACAAAAAAGCUUUACAAAAUCAAAUGUGACAGGAUACAGAACAACAGGAACUCGUAUGUGUCCUUGCCGGGAACGUUCAGAGAACCUCCUGACAACAUUCAGCAAAGUUAAAGAUACUCACUUCUUUGUGUGUGUGUUUGCUAUUUCUUGGGCCGCUCCCGCAGCAUAUGGGAGGUUCGCAGGCUAGGAGUCGAACUGGAGCUGUAGCCUCCGGCCUACACCACAGCCACAGCAAUGUGGGAUCCGAGCCGCAUCUGCAACCUACACCACAGCUCACGGCAAUGCCGGAUCAUUAACCCACUGAGCAAGGGCAGGGACCGAACCCGCAACCUCAUGGUUCCUAGUCGGAUUCGUUAACCACUGCGCCACGACAGGAACUCCAAGAUACUCACUUCUUACACUUACCCAUCUCAUGCCUCGGUACGCACCUCAAAGAAAUUCUUGCCCAUGCACCUCAGGAAAUGUGUGUAACGACAUUCAAAGUAGG